Molecule: ribosomal RNA, 486 nt
Filed under: uncultured bacterium
Lineage: Bacteria
Description: bacterial SSU rRNA
Rfam family: Bacterial small subunit ribosomal RNA
Source: RNAcentral
GAUCAUGGCUCAGGACAACGCUGGCGGCGUGCUUAACACAUGCAAGUCGAGCGAUGAAGCUCUUCGGAAGUGGAUUAGCGGCGACGGGUGAGUAACACGUGGGUAACCUGCCUCAUAGAGGGGAAUAGCCUUCCGAAAGGAAGAUUAAUACCGCAUAAGAUUGUAAUAUCGCAUGAUAUAGCAAUUAAAGGAGCAAUCCGCUAUGAGAUGGACCCGCGUCGCAUUAGCUAGUUGGUGAGGUAAACGGCUCACCAAGGCGACGAUGCGUAGCCGACCUGAGAGGGUGAUCGGCCACAUUGGGACUGAGACACGGCCCAGACUCCUACGGGAGGCAGCAGUGGGGAAUAUUGCACGAUGGGGGAAACCCUGAUGCAGACCAACGCCGCGUGAGUGAUGACGGUCUUCGGAUUGUAAAGCUCUGUCUUCAGGGACGAUAAUGACGGUACCUGAGGAGGAAGCCACGGCUAACUACGUGCCAGCAGCGGC